CAUGUCUGGAAUGGAGGGCAGGAAGAAGCUGUUUGAUGCUGGACAAUAGAAGAUACAUUUGAAAAACUUUAUGGUGACAACUACACCAGAAUUAAUAAACUUCUUAAAAUGAAUGUACAAUUCAAUGCAAGUUCAUAUAACACAUAUAUCCUAUUGUAAUAAUAGCUUAGGAUUAUGGUUUAAUAUUAUAUUUUAGUUAAAAGGAAACUGCAUAUAAGUUAUUUAGACAAGAAAACAGUGUCUGAAACUUACUUGAUGUCUACUUGAUCUACUUGUUUCUGUGAUGCUGAGCCCAUUUUCUGUCUUAAAAAUAAAAACACAUCAAAGAAAGCCUAAAUAUUUUGCCCCUUACUUAAAAAAAAAAUGCAAAGUGCCUGCAACAAGGACUGACACUUAGGACUUCAGAUCAGAAGACCUCUGGAAAUGUUUGGAUACAACAGCCCUAAAUGUAGCAGAACCUGAAGGCUCUGAACUUGCCAUGCACUUUUAUCUAUUUGACCUCACUUCAUAACAGACAUAACACAACUGCUGUCUCCCAGGAAUACCUUCAGUUGUUCUAACAUCAAUCAACUAUAUUUGUAAAUGUGUGGAACUUAAAAAAAUACAUGCACUUUUAAAGCUUUUCAAACUAAAUCACUCAUUUAAUUUUGUUAUUAAAACAUCCCAAAAACUCUUUAGUUGACCAAC
Sinocyclocheilus anshuiensis is the source of this 687-nucleotide long non-coding RNA. RefSeq lists it as uncharacterized. The record is from RefSeq and is a predicted model, not a curated record. The transcript has 2 exons. Lineage: Eukaryota; Metazoa; Chordata; Actinopteri; Cypriniformes; Cyprinidae.